UGGUGGAGCGAUUUGUCUGGUUAUUCCGAUAACGAACGAGACUCUGGCCUAUUAAAUAGUUCGCCGAUUCCGAUCUGUCGGCGUUAACUUCUUAGAGGGACAAGUGGCUUUUAGCCACGCGAGAUUGAGCAAUAACA
RNAcentral lists this ribosomal RNA (137 nucleotides) under uncultured eukaryote. Its description in RNAcentral is "partial 18S ribosomal RNA". It matches the Rfam family "Eukaryotic small subunit ribosomal RNA", at positions 1299 to 1458 of the family's 1831-position model. The record is from RNAcentral.